CUCUGACACGCUCCUACUGUGGCCAGUCUGGCCAUCACUUUUGGUUCCGGCGCAAUGAC
RNAcentral lists this non-coding RNA (59 nucleotides) under Candidatus Electrothrix aarhusensis. Lineage: Bacteria; Pseudomonadati; Thermodesulfobacteriota; Desulfobulbia; Desulfobulbales; Desulfobulbaceae. The record is from RNAcentral.